Molecule: small nuclear RNA, 108 nt
Organism: Diceros bicornis minor
Lineage: Eukaryota; Metazoa; Chordata; Mammalia; Perissodactyla; Rhinocerotidae
Source: RefSeq, a predicted model, not a curated record
GUGCUCGCUUUGGCAGCACAUACAAUAAAAGUUGGAAUGAUACAGAGAAGACGAGCAUGGCCCCUGCACAAGGAUGAUGCACAAAUUCGCGAAACAUUCCGUAUUUUU